Molecule: ribosomal RNA, 253 nt
Filed under: uncultured bacterium
Lineage: Bacteria
Description: partial 16S ribosomal RNA
Rfam family: Bacterial small subunit ribosomal RNA
Source: RNAcentral
UACGAAGGGGGCUAGUGUUGCUCGGAAUCACUGGGCGUAAAGGGUGCGUAGGCGGGUUUUUAAGUCAGGGGUGAAAUCCUGGAGCUCAACUCCAGAACUGCCUUUGAUACUGAAGAUCUUGAGUCCGGGAGAGGUGAGUGGAACUGCGAGUGUAGAGGUGAAAUUCGUAGAUAUUCGCAAGAACACCAGUGGCGAAGGCGGCUCACUGGCCCGGUACUGACGCUGAGGUGCGAAAGCGUGGGGAGCAAACAGG